GCUGGGUGUGGUGGCGCAUGCCUGUAAUCCCAGCUACUUGGGAGGCUGAGGCAGGAGAAUCGCUUGAACCUGGGAGGCAGAGGUUGUAGUGAGCUAAGAUUGUGCCACUGCACUGUAGCCUGGGCAACACAGCGAGACUCUGUCUCAA
RNAcentral lists this non-coding RNA (148 nucleotides) under Pan paniscus (pygmy chimpanzee). Lineage: Eukaryota; Metazoa; Chordata; Mammalia; Primates; Hominidae. RNAcentral also lists the same sequence under 1 other name. The record is from Rfam by way of RNAcentral.